UUACCCAAAACUUGUUCUGGUCCGGGCGGGUAUCCGUCCGGUUAAAAUGGGAAUCCGGUGCGUGACCGCAAGGUGACAAAUCCGGGACUGCCCCCGCAACUGUAAGCGGUGAGCGACGCCGAAACACGUCACUGGGGAGCGAACCCUGGGAAGACUCGGCCAAGCUUUGACCCGCGAGUCAGGAGACCUGCCAGAAUGAUCACCCUAUC
RNAcentral lists this non-coding RNA (209 nucleotides) under Rhodobacteraceae bacterium EhC02. The record is from RNAcentral. RNAcentral also lists the same sequence under 1 other name. Lineage: Bacteria; Pseudomonadati; Pseudomonadota; Alphaproteobacteria; Rhodobacterales; Paracoccaceae.